UCCAUCUAAAGCUAAAUACUGGCGAGAGACCGAUAGCGAACAAGUACCGUGAGGGAAAGAUGCAAAGAACUUUGAAAAGAGAGUCAAAGAGUGCUUGAAAUCGGUAGGAGGAAACCCGGAUGGGCCCGGCUUCGGCGUCGCGACUCAGCCCCCUGCUCGGGGGGGUGCACUUUGCGCCGCCGGGUCAGCCGCCGCUCGGGCCGCGGUACAACGGGGGAGCAGGGCUCCGGCGAGCUCCCCUCCUGCCGCGCCCGGGGCGCCGUCUGACGGAACGGGCCCCUCCGACCCGUCU
This 292-nucleotide ribosomal RNA is filed under the name Ruttnera lamellosa. Its description in RNAcentral is "Chrysotila lamellosa partial 28S ribosomal RNA". It matches the Rfam family "Eukaryotic large subunit ribosomal RNA", at positions 305 to 654 of the family's 3401-position model. Lineage: Eukaryota; Haptophyta; Isochrysidales; Isochrysidaceae. The record is from RNAcentral.